CAGAAGCUGUGUCCUGUAUCAGAAUCUGAAAAAGCCCAAGUUGCAUGAAUGAAGGAUCUGCAGGUGAUUCAUAGGCUCGGAGAAGUUGGAGAAGCUCCGGUCUAGGUACGCCUGCCGAGAUUCUCAGGAGUGCAGAAAGUGGGAAACCGUCAGCAGUACCAGCCAUCACCAGCACUGACACCCAGGAUGCCAUUAGGAAGAGGUCCAAGACUAGCAGGGCAGCCGCUGUGAGCCUGGAAACUGCUUGGGUGCCUUGAGAUGGGCUGUUACAUCCACGGUGGCUCAGGGCUUCCUCUAUGAAGCAUCGACUCUCCUGGGCUUUCAGCUGGACAUUCAGGAUUCAAAGAUGAGUGCAGAGUCACAGAGACAAACGAGACCCAGUGCUGCGGGGACACAGAGGCCGGGGCCAAGAAUUCCUCCAGGUGGCUCAUGCCUGUAAUCCCAACACUUUGGAAGGCCAAGCGGGCGGAUCACUUGAGGUCAGGAGU
This 488-nucleotide long non-coding RNA is filed under the name Homo sapiens (human). Its description in RNAcentral is "HSALNT0294517". Lineage: Eukaryota; Metazoa; Chordata; Mammalia; Primates; Hominidae. The record is from RNAcentral.